Molecule: ribosomal RNA, 497 nt
Filed under: uncultured bacterium
Lineage: Bacteria
Description: partial 16S ribosomal RNA
Rfam family: Bacterial small subunit ribosomal RNA
Source: RNAcentral
GUUGAACGCUGGCGGCGUGCCUAAUACAUGCAAGUCGAGCGAACAGACGAGGAGCUUGCUCCUCUGACGUUAGCGGCGGACGGGUGAGUAACACGUGGAUAACCUACCUAUAAGACUGGGAUAACUUCGGGAAACCGGGGCUAAUACCGGAUAAUAUAUUGAACCGCAUGGUUCAAUAGUGAAAGACGGUUUUGCUGUCACUUAUAGAUGGAUCCGCGCCGCAUUAGCUAGUUGGUAAGGUAACGGCUUACCAAGGCGACGAUGCGUAGCCGACCUGAGAGGGUGAUCGGCCACACUGGAACUGAGACACGGUCCAGACUCCUACGGGAGGCAGCAGUAGGGAAUCUUCCGCAAAGGGCGAAAGCCUGACGGAGCAACGCCGCGUGAGUGAUGAAGGUCUUCGGAUCGUAAAACUCUGUUAUUAGGGAAGAACAAAUGUGUAAGUAACUAUGCACGUCUUGACGGUACCUAAUCAGAAAGCCACGGCUAACUGCGUG